RNAcentral lists this ribosomal RNA (532 nucleotides) under uncultured bacterium. RNAcentral's name for it is "bacterial SSU rRNA". It matches the Rfam family "Bacterial small subunit ribosomal RNA", at positions 777 to 1317 of the family's 1533-position model. The record is from RNAcentral.
AAUAGAUACCCAGGUAGUCCACGCCGUAAACGAUGCUAACUCGUUUUUGGGCCUUUGGGUUCAGAGACUAAGCGAAAGUGAUAAGUUAGCCACCUGGGGAGUACGUUCGCAAGAAUGAAACUCAAAGGAAUUGACGGGGGCCCGCACAAGCGGUGGAUUAUGUGGUUUAAUUCGAUGAUACGCGAGGAACCUUACCAAGGCUUAAAUGGGAAAUGACAGGCUUAGAAAUAGGCUUUUCUUCGGACAUUUUUCAAGGUGCUGCAUGGUUGUCGUCAGCUCGUGCCGUGAGGUGUUAGGUUAAGUCCUGCAACGAGCGCAACCCCUGUCACUAGUUGCCAUCAUUAAGUUGGGGACUCUAGUGAGACUGCCUACGCAAGUAGAGAGGAAGGUGGGGAUGGCGUCAAAUCAUCACGGCCCUUACGCCUUGGGCCACACACGUAAUACAAUGGCCAGUACAGAGGGCAGCUACACAGCGAUGUGAUGCAAAUCUCGAAAGCUGGUCUCAGUUCGGAUUGGAGUCUGCAACUCGACU